UACGUAGGUUGCGAGCGUUAUUCGGAUUUACUGGGCGUAACGCGCACCGAGGUGGCUUCUUCAGUUGGAUGUAAAAUCUCCCGGCUCAACUGGGAGGCGCCAUUCAAGACUGGGGAGCUUGAGGUCAGCAGGGGAAAGUGGAAUUCCCGGUGUAGUGGUGGAAUGCGUAGAGAUCGGGAGGAACACCAGUGGCGAAAGCGACUUUCUGGGCUGCACCUGACACUCUAGUGCGAAAGCGUGGGGAGCAAACAGG
RNAcentral lists this ribosomal RNA (253 nucleotides) under uncultured bacterium. RNAcentral describes it as "partial 16S ribosomal RNA". It matches the Rfam family "Bacterial small subunit ribosomal RNA", at positions 524 to 776 of the family's 1533-position model. The record is from RNAcentral.